ACGGAGGGUGCAAGCGUUGUUCGGAAUUAUUGGGCGUAAAGCGCGCGCAGGUGGGCCACUAAGUCUGAUGUGAAAUCCCUCGGCUCAACCGAGGACGUGCAUUGGAUACUGGUGGUCUUGAGUCCUGGAGAGGGAAGCGGAAUUCCCAGUGUAGAGGUGAAAUUCGUAGAUAUUGGGAGGAACACCGGUGGCGAAGGCGGCUUCCUGGACAGUGACUGACGCUGAGGCGCGAAAGCGUGGGUAGCAAACAGG
RNAcentral lists this ribosomal RNA (252 nucleotides) under uncultured bacterium. Its description in RNAcentral is "partial 16S ribosomal RNA". It matches the Rfam family "Bacterial small subunit ribosomal RNA", at positions 525 to 776 of the family's 1533-position model. The record is from RNAcentral.